RNAcentral lists this ribosomal RNA (253 nucleotides) under uncultured bacterium. RNAcentral describes it as "partial 16S ribosomal RNA". It matches the Rfam family "Bacterial small subunit ribosomal RNA", at positions 524 to 776 of the family's 1533-position model. The record is from RNAcentral.
UACGUAGGUGGCAAGCGUUGUCCGGAUUUACUGGGCGUAAAGAGCGCGCAGGCGGUCGUUCAAGUCGCGUGUGAAAGCCCCCGGCUCAACUGGGGAGGGUCACGCGAUACUGAUCGACUGGAAGGCAGGAGAGGGUAGUGGAAUUCCCGGUGUAGCAGUGAAAUGCGUAGAGAUCGGGAGGAACACCAGUGGCGAAGGCGGCUACCUGGACCAGCACUGACACUGAGGCACGAAAGCGUGGGGAGCAAACAGG